GGAAGUAAAAGCCGUAACAAGGUUUCCGUAGGUGAACCUGCGGAAGGAUCAUUAAGGAGAAUAUGCCCUUCGGGGUAGAUCUCCCACCCUUUGUUUAUAUUACCUUUGUUGCUUUGGCAGGCCCGUCUUCGGACCACCGGCUUCGGCUGGUCAGUGCUUGCCAGAGGACCCAAAACUCUUAUUAUUAAUGUCGUCUGAGUACUAUAUAAUAGUUAAAGCUUUCAACAACGGAUCUCUUGGUUCUG
RNAcentral lists this unclassified non-coding RNA (245 nucleotides) under plant metagenome. RNAcentral describes it as "partial contains small subunit ribosomal RNA, internal transcribed spacer 1, and 5.8S ribosomal RNA". The stretch from base 1 to 54 matches the Rfam family "Eukaryotic small subunit ribosomal RNA", at positions 1778 to 1831 of the family's 1831-position model. The record is from RNAcentral.